Molecule: ribosomal RNA, 253 nt
Filed under: uncultured bacterium
Lineage: Bacteria
Description: partial 16S ribosomal RNA
Rfam family: Bacterial small subunit ribosomal RNA
Source: RNAcentral
UACGGAGGGAGCUAGCGUUGUUCGGAAUUACUGGGCGUAAAGCGCGCGUAGGCGGUUUUUUAAGUCAGAGGUGAAAGCCCAGUGCUCAACACUGGAACUGCCUUUGAAACUGGAAAGCUAGAAUCUUGGAGAGGUCAGUGGAAUUCCGAGUGUAGAGGUGAAAUUCGUAGAUAUUCGGAAGAACACCAGUGGCGAAGGCGACUGACUGGACAAGUAUUGACGCUGAGGUGCGAAAGCGUGGGGAGCAAACAGG